This 209-nucleotide long non-coding RNA is filed under the name Prunus persica (peach). RNAcentral's name for it is "long non-coding RNA (PPER_LNC000967)". The record is from RNAcentral. Lineage: Eukaryota; Viridiplantae; Streptophyta; Magnoliopsida; Rosales; Rosaceae.
UUUAGAGGGUGAAAAUCUUAUCUGAAAUAUGAGAUUAUAAUUUUUUUUUAAUAUCUGAAAAUCUUAUAUGACAUGGGACACUUGGCACAAUUUUAGAGGGUGAAAAUGUUAUCUGAAAUCUGAGAUUAUAAUUUUUUUUAAUGAAUAUUCGAAAAUUUUAUCUGGAAUAAGACAUGUGGCAACCGAGGUUCUCAUCCGAAAAUCUUUUG